Luteimonas sp. FCS-9 is the source of this 116-nucleotide regulatory RNA element. It matches the Rfam family "ALIL pseudoknot". Lineage: Bacteria; Pseudomonadati; Pseudomonadota; Gammaproteobacteria; Lysobacterales; Lysobacteraceae. The record is from Rfam.
GGCGUAUUUCGCCCAGGCGGAGCUCGACCGCCGCUUCAAGCCAUGACGGGCUUCGUGGCCGACAGCGCCACGCCUACGGAGUCGAGCCGAUCUGCCGGGUGCUGGAGAUCGCUCCG